Molecule: long non-coding RNA, 314 nt
Filed under: Setaria viridis
Lineage: Eukaryota; Viridiplantae; Streptophyta; Magnoliopsida; Poales; Poaceae
Description: long non-coding RNA (SVIR_LNC002869)
Source: RNAcentral
GAGUGGACUAUCGUUCCAGCGGCUCAGGUUACUUCCAUUCAUUAACAUGUUCUAUCUGAUGUGGACAGAUUCAAUUCUGACGAUGAGGAGGAGGACGAGACUAUCUAGAAAUACCAUGAUGAAGAUGAAAAUCCUGCACCUGAUAGUGAUGAGGACUAGGAUGUGAAAUCAAUUGAUGUUUUAGUCGAUUCAAUCUGAACUCAUUUGUUGUAUAAGAUAUGUGCAUGUAGACCUUUUAUCAUAGUAGUUGUGGGAAAAUCCUUUUUACACAUCUCAAUAUGUUCGAAAGCACACUUAGCUGGCUAUUGAUCCGG